UACAGAGGGUGCGAGCGUUAAUCGGAUUUACUGGGCGUAAAGCGUGUGUAGGCGGUUCGUUAAGUCGGAUGUGAAAGCCCUGGGCUCAACCUAGGAAUUGCAUUCGAUACUGGCGAGCUAGAGUACGGUAGAGGGCGGCGGAAUUCCGGGUGUAGCGGUGAAAUGCGUAGAUAUCCGGAGGAACACCGAUGGCGAAGGCAACCGCCUGGGCCUGUACUGACGCUGAGACACGAAAGCGUGGGGAGCAAACAGG
This 253-nucleotide ribosomal RNA is filed under the name uncultured bacterium. RNAcentral's name for it is "partial 16S ribosomal RNA". It matches the Rfam family "Bacterial small subunit ribosomal RNA", at positions 524 to 776 of the family's 1533-position model. RNAcentral also lists the same sequence under 1 other name. The record is from RNAcentral.